Ostrinia furnacalis (Asian corn borer) is the source of this 1665-nucleotide RNA transcript. It is a transcript of the gene named S-adenosylmethionine decarboxylase, with no coding region annotated. The record is from RefSeq and is a predicted model, not a curated record. NCBI's taxonomy places the organism in Eukaryota, Metazoa, Arthropoda, Insecta, Lepidoptera, Crambidae. The transcript is spliced from 9 exons.
UCAUUUUCAUUUUGCCCAGUCCACGACUCCGCCUCGGUGCUUCCGAACGCGCCGACUCGCUCGCUCUGAAAGAAAGAGAGGUCCCAUCUUCCAUCUCUUCUUUCACCUGCAUUUGCCAAUAAUUUUGAUUCAUUCACACUUCACUUCAGUCAAUUUCUGACAUCAGUCCGCUGUGGUUGUGUGCCGAGUUUUAGUGAAAAUAAAAUAUAAUAUUUUUUAUAACAGUACAGAACAAAAGAAAUAAAUCGCUAUGGCUGAAACGGAAAUAUUAUCUAAUGCCAGUGAGAAUAAUAGUGAUCAAUUCUUUGAGGGAGUUGAGAAACUUAUUGAGAUAUGGUUCACUCCCGCAAAAAAUGCGGACCUAAGGAGGAUUCCGCGCCAACAAUGGGAGAAGGUGCUGAAAAUUGUCCGCUGCGAAAUUAUCUCUUUCACACAGAGCGAGCAAGUCGACGCCUAUGUUCUUAGCGAAAGCAGCAUGUUCGUAUCGAAGCGUCGCUUCAUCCUGAAGACGUGCGGCACGACGACGCCGCUGCGCUGCGUGCGCGCGGUCCUGGCGCUAGCACGCGACGUGGCCGGGCACGAGCGCGUGCACAACGUGUUCUAUUCGCGCCGGGAGUUCGCACGCCCUAAAGCUCAGUUGCAACCGCACGACAACUUUGAUUCCGAGGUGGAGCUCCUGGACUCCUACUUCGGCGACGGACGCGCGUACAUUAUGGGUCCUGAGAAGGACUGCUGGUACCUCUACACUUUAUUGCCGCUUGAAGGUACAGUAGACGCGCUAGAAAAGGAACAGAUCCAGGUGAACUGCUGCGAGUCGUCGGAGCCGGACCAGACCAUCGAGAUCCUGAUGUCGGACCUGGAUCCCGCCGUCAUGGAUAUCUUCUCGAGGGCCAGCUCCGCCACAGCUGCCGAAGCUACUAAAGCGUCAGGCAUUGACAAAAUCAUUCCAGGGAUGGUGAUAGACGACUUCCUGUUCGACCCGUGCGGGUAUUCCAUGAACGGAGUCGCCAAAGACGGGUGCUACAUGACGAUCCACAUUACGCCAGAGCGCGCAUGUUCGUACGUGUCGUUUGAAUCCAACGUGCCAGCUGCUAGUUAUGACGACCUCAUCAAGAGAGUGUUGGACGCCUUCCGCCCUGCCAAGUUCGUGCUCACGGUCUUCGCGUCGCCGGACUCGCCCGGCGCAGACACGCCUCGCCAACUAAAAAAGAUAUCCUCGCUAUUCGCGUUCGAGCAGAAGGACGCGCAAUUCGUGCGUUUCGCGGGCUACGCGCUGCACUACGCGCUGUACUGCAAGUUCCCGAGCUGAGGCCGCGCGCGCCCGCCGCGCCCCGCCCCGCCCCGCCGCGCCCCGCGCCGCGCGCUCGCCGCCAUCCUGCAGGCGACACACACACACACACACACACACACAUACUAAGACUUUCGUAUACCUAGGGAAGUGAUAGCGUCCACCUCUGGGUUGACUACACCUGACUAUUGUAGCGUCCACCAUCUAGGUCGACUGGUGUUCUAAAACCAGUCCACAUCUGUUGACUACACCUUAACUAUUGUAGCGUCCACCACCUUGGUUGACUACACCUGACUAUUGUUAUAUCUGCGGGAAGAGCGUCCGCGCCCGCGCCGCGCAGGGCGCCGCCACGUCUCAAUAUACAAUUAGCGAACUUA